This 446-nucleotide ribosomal RNA is filed under the name uncultured soil bacterium. RNAcentral's name for it is "bacterial SSU rRNA". It matches the Rfam family "Bacterial small subunit ribosomal RNA", at positions 26 to 518 of the family's 1533-position model. The record is from RNAcentral.
AGAGCGAACGCUGGCGGCAGGCCUAACACAUGCAAGUCGAACGGACCCUUCGGGGUUAGUGGCGGACGGGUGAGUAACACGUGGGGACGUGCCUUUUGGUUCGGAAUAGCUCCUGGAAACGGGUGGUAAUGCCGAAUGUGCCCUUCGGGGGAAAGAUUUAUCGCCAUUAGAGCGGCCCGCGUCUGAUUAGCUAGUUGGUGAGGUAAUGGCUCACCAAGGCGACGAUCAGUAGCUGGUCUGAGAGGAUGACCAGCCACAUUGGGACUGAGACACGGCCCAAACUCCUACGGGAGGCAGCAGUGGGAAUCUUGCGCAAUGGGCGAAAGCCUGACGCAGCCAUGCCGCGUGUAUGAUGAAGGUCUUAGGAUUGUAAAAUACUUUCACCGGUGAAGAUAAUGACUGUAGCCGGAGAAGAAGCCCCGGAUAACUUCGUGCCAAGCAGCCGC